GGCCCGGUCGCGGAUGGUCUGCACCCGUGAAUCAUGAGGGUUGUGUAACACAUGUUACGGGAGUCGCUCGUUCGAUUCGAGCCCGGGCCA
Non-coding RNA from Mycena epipterygia, 90 nucleotides. The record is from the annotation of a GenBank genome assembly. NCBI's taxonomy places the organism in Eukaryota, Fungi, Basidiomycota, Agaricomycetes, Agaricales, Mycenaceae.